GAUUGUCUGGUGCCAGCAGCCGCGGUAAUUCCAGCUCCAAUAGCGUAUAUUAAAGUUGUUGCAGUUAAAAAGCUCGUAGUUGAACUUCUGGUAGAGUUAACCUGACUUGAGUAUUUUGCUCUAGAUCGUGCGUUAACUUGGCCAUCUUGACUUUUUUCGGAAAGUCUCGUUUACUGUAAAAAAAUUAGAGUGUUCAAAGCAAAAAGUAUUUUUGAAUAUAUUAGUAUGGAAUAAUAAGAUAAGGCUUCUGUGUUAUUUUGUUGGUUUGCCACAGAUGCAAUGAUUAAAAGGGACGGUUGGGGGUAUUCGUAUUCCGAUGUCAGAGGUGAAAUUCUUGGAUUUUCGAAAGACGAACAACUGCGAAGGCAUUUACCAAGGAUGUUUUCAUUAAUCAAGAACGAAAGUUAGG
This 409-nucleotide ribosomal RNA is filed under the name Thraustochytriidae sp. BS6. Its description in RNAcentral is "partial 18S ribosomal RNA". It matches the Rfam family "Eukaryotic small subunit ribosomal RNA", at positions 555 to 994 of the family's 1831-position model. The record is from RNAcentral. RNAcentral also lists the same sequence under 1 other name. Lineage: Eukaryota; Bigyra; Thraustochytrida; Thraustochytriidae.